UACGUAGGGGGCAAGCGUUGUCCUGAUUUAUUGGGCGUAAAGAGCGUGUAGGCGGUUAUGCAGGUCCGCUGUGAAAACUGGAGGCUUAACCUCCAGACGUCGGUGGAAACCGUAUGACUAGAGUCCGGAAGAGGAGAGUGGAAUUCCUGGUGUAGCGGUGAAAUGCGCAGAUAUCAGGAAGAACACCCGUGGCGAAGGCGGCUUUCUGGGACGGUACUGACGCUGAGACGCGAAAGCGUGGGGAGCGAACAGG
RNAcentral lists this ribosomal RNA (253 nucleotides) under uncultured bacterium. Its description in RNAcentral is "partial 16S ribosomal RNA". It matches the Rfam family "Bacterial small subunit ribosomal RNA", at positions 524 to 776 of the family's 1533-position model. The record is from RNAcentral.